RNAcentral lists this ribosomal RNA (492 nucleotides) under uncultured bacterium. Its description in RNAcentral is "partial 16S ribosomal RNA". It matches the Rfam family "Bacterial small subunit ribosomal RNA", at positions 29 to 507 of the family's 1533-position model. The record is from RNAcentral.
AGUGAACGCUGGCGGUAGGCCUAACACAUGCAAGUCGAACGGCAGCACAGUAAGAGCUUGCUCUUACGGGUGGCGAGUGGCGGACGGGUGAGGAAUACAUCGGAAUCUACUUUUUCGUGGGGGAUAACGUAGGGAAACUUACGCUAAUACCGCAUACGACCUACGGGUGAAAGCAGGGGAUCUUCGGACCUUGCGCGAUUGAAUGAGCCGAUGUCGGAUUAGUUAGUUGGCGGGGUAAAGGCCCACCAAGGCGACGAUCCGUGGCUGGUCUGAGAGGAUGAUAAGCCACACUGGAACUGAGACACGGUCCAGACUCCUACGGGAGGCAGCAGUGGGGAAUAUUGGACAAUGGGCGCAAGCCUGAUCCAGCCAUACCGCGUGGGUGAAGAAGGCCUUCGGGUUGUAAAGCCCUUUUGUUGGGAAAGAAAAGCAGCAGGUUAAUACCCCGCUGUUCUGACGGUACCCAAAGAAUAAGCACCGGCUAACUUCGUG